AGAGUAGUCUGGAAGCUCGCAAGGCUCAUAACCUUGAAAUCGCAGGUUCAAAUCCCGUCUCCGUUAUUAAUUAA
Molecule: transfer RNA, 74 nt
Filed under: Mitrastemon kanehirai
Lineage: Eukaryota; Viridiplantae; Streptophyta; Magnoliopsida; Ericales; Mitrastemonaceae
Description: tRNA-fMet
Rfam family: tRNA (bases 1-66)
About the family: Transfer RNA (tRNA) molecules are approximately 80 nucleotides in length. Their secondary structure includes four short double-helical elements and three loops (D, anti-codon, and T loops).
Source: RNAcentral